Molecule: long non-coding RNA, 996 nt
Organism: Ostrinia furnacalis (Asian corn borer)
Lineage: Eukaryota; Metazoa; Arthropoda; Insecta; Lepidoptera; Crambidae
Exons: 2
Source: RefSeq, a predicted model, not a curated record
AAUUAUUCCUGUCACACAAGAAAUGUUUCUUAUCACGCUCACAUGAAACAAAAGAUUAUGAGAUAGACAUAGAUGGAACAUACAAAACAAGCACACCAGUAAAUGUAAGUAAUAAUUACACCUUUUUUGAAAUAUGUUGUACAUCAAAAUACUGGUCAAAUUUGAAUAAAAUAUUUUUGAUGUUGAUUGAUUUUUUGGCUUUAUUUUAGUCACAUGAAACAAAAGAUGAUGAGAUCCACACAGAUGGAACAUACAAUUUAAACUUUUCAUUGCAUCUAAAUAUUAAUAAUGUCAUCACAAAAAUACGCCAAAUGACUACAAUUAUUAUUUUUUAUUUCAUUAACAGGUUUUAUUUUCGGUAUGCAAUACCGAGGUGGAACCUUUUAGAUCUGUGUCAUCCCCUCACGUUUAGUGAAAUACCGGGGUGGUUGGAACUUGAUUUGGUCCAUCCUGUCAUCAACUGUUUUUCAAUGGGACGACUUCUGAACAUCAGAGAGAUCUUGACUGUCAAGAUACGUGAAUUAGGCCACUGAACUUUUCAAAACAAAACCAACACAGGUGAAAUAUCUGAGCAUCUCCCUUGACAAUAAAUUGAACUGGGCAAGUCAUAUCGACAACAUGCAUAGUGCCUAGCAAACAUAGCGGCCAUGGGUUGUAUGAGAACCACUCUAUCGGCAUCACUUGACUUCUUUCUGAAUCUCAGACAUUUAGACCUCAUUAUUCAGGAGGAAGCACAAGCACCCACUCUAAGACUUAAAGGAAACGAUCUAUGAAAGCAAAACAAGGAGACAGGAUAUUCCGCGAUUCUGCACAAAACCCUAAAAGAAAUACCCCUCAUCAACAGGAUAGGUACCCUGUGUACACAUCUUCGACCAAAGAUAAUAUCCAGCUUACAGCGGAAACGCGAAAUUGCUCUGGAAUCAAUGAAGUUAGGAUAUACCGACGUCUUCAAAACUGAAAUAAGUACUAGGAGGUCUUCUCGAAUGACCUAAACAU